Molecule: ribosomal RNA, 332 nt
Filed under: uncultured bacterium
Lineage: Bacteria
Description: bacterial SSU rRNA
Rfam family: Bacterial small subunit ribosomal RNA
Source: RNAcentral
CGCGUAGGCGGUGCGGUAAGUCACCUGUGAAACCUCCGGGCUCAACUCGGAGCCUGCAGGCGAAACUGCCGUGCUGGAGUGUGGGAGGGGUGCGUGGAAUUCCCGGUGUAGCAGUGAAAUGCGUAGAGAUCGGGAGGAACACCUGUGGCGAAAGCGGCGCACUGGACCACAACUGACGCUGAGGCGCGAAAGCUAGGGGAGCAAACAGGAUUAGAUACCCUGGUAGUCCUAGCCCUAAACGAUGGAUGCUUGGUGUAGCCGGUACCCAAUCCGGCUGUGCCGCAGCUAACGCGAUAAGCAUCCCGCCUGGGGAUACGGUCGCAAGGCUAGAA